CUUAAAUUAGAGGUGAGUGCUCUGCCAUACAUUCAGAGUGUCCCUGCCCCACACAGAAGGCCUUGAGGUGAUUAAAGUGACUUCUUAGUCUUGCCAGUCAUAUAUUAACACCUUAAGAUCUAGAACAUGGGAAUGGUAGUACUUAUUCCCUAAGGUUGUAGCAUACGUGUUUUUACAAUACUUAAGACGAGUUUCCUGUGUACUUCUCAACAUUUUUUUU
Molecule: long non-coding RNA, 220 nt
Filed under: Bos taurus (domestic cattle)
Lineage: Eukaryota; Metazoa; Chordata; Mammalia; Artiodactyla; Bovidae
Description: long non-coding RNA NONBTAT016630
Source: RNAcentral